GAUUAAACCAUUUGUUACAUAUAAAGUGGGAAAAUAUGACUGAAAUUCUCAAGUUUGUUUGUGUUAUGAUUAUAUUUAUCUCCUCAUUUAUUGUUUCAAAAAGUUUGAAUGGGGGUGGUAAAGAUAAAUGCUUUAGAGAUUCUGAUUGUCCAAAACAUAUGUGCCCAUCUUCUUUGGUUGCGAAGUGUAUCAAUAGGCUCUGCAGGUGUCGUAGACCGGAGUUGCAAGUACAACUUAAUCCCUAGUGAUUUUGUAUUUAGUGAAAGAACCAAGACAGGACACAAAAGUCUUUUAGAAUAUUACAUAAUCUAUCAUUUAUCUAUUUUGCUGGCAUCCAAUAAUUGAAUUUUUAUCGUUCUAAUUUCAAGAACCUUGUAGUAAUGGCUUUGGACUC
Molecule: long non-coding RNA, 394 nt
Organism: Medicago truncatula (barrel medic)
Lineage: Eukaryota; Viridiplantae; Streptophyta; Magnoliopsida; Fabales; Fabaceae
Exons: 2
Source: RefSeq, a predicted model, not a curated record